CAUGCCGUAAACGGUGGGCGCUAGGUGUGGGUUUCCUUCCACGGGAUCCGUGCCGUAGCUAACGCAUUAAGCGCCCCGCCUGGGGAGUACGGCCGCAAGGCUAAAACUCAAAGGAAUUGACGGGGGCCCGCACAAGCGGCGGAGCAUGUGGAUUAAUUCGAUGCAACGCGAAGAACCUUACCUGGGCUUGACAUAUACAGGAUCGCGCCAGAGAUGGUGUUUCCCUUGUGGCUUGUAUACAGGUGG
Molecule: ribosomal RNA, 246 nt
Filed under: uncultured Corynebacterium sp.
Lineage: Bacteria; Bacillati; Actinomycetota; Actinomycetes; Mycobacteriales; Corynebacteriaceae
Description: partial 16S ribosomal RNA
Rfam family: Bacterial small subunit ribosomal RNA
Source: RNAcentral